This 82-nucleotide transfer RNA is filed under the name Actinomycetes bacterium. RNAcentral describes it as "Actinobacteria bacterium tRNA-Leu". It matches the Rfam family "tRNA". From Rfam's summary of the family: Transfer RNA (tRNA) molecules are approximately 80 nucleotides in length. Their secondary structure includes four short double-helical elements and three loops (D, anti-codon, and T loops). Lineage: Bacteria; Bacillati; Actinomycetota; Actinomycetes. The record is from RNAcentral.
GCCCGGAUGGCGGAAUCGGUAGACGCAGCGGUCUUAAACACCGCGGCCCUCGGGCGUGCAGGUUCGAGUCCUGCUCCGGGCA